RNAcentral lists this unclassified non-coding RNA (378 nucleotides) under plant metagenome. RNAcentral describes it as "partial contains 5.8S ribosomal RNA, internal transcribed spacer 2, and large subunit ribosomal RNA". The stretch from base 1 to 105 matches the Rfam family "5.8S ribosomal RNA", at positions 50 to 154 of the family's 154-position model. The record is from RNAcentral.
GAAAUGCGAUAAGUAAUGUGAAUUGCAGAAUUCAGUGAAUCAUCGAAUCUUUGAACGCACCUUGCGCUCCUUGGUAUUCCUUGGAGCUUGCCUGUUUGAGUAUCAUGAAAUCUUCAAAGUAAAUCUUUUGUUAACUCAAUUGGUUUCUACUUUGGUAUUGGAGGUCUUUGCAGCUUCACACCUGCUCCUCUUUGUUCAUUAGCUGGAUCUCAGUGUUAUGCUUGGUUCCACUCGGCGUGAUAAGUUAUCUAUCGCUGAGGACACUGUAAAAGGUGGCCAAGGUAAAUGCAGAUGAACCGCUUCUAAUAGUCCAUUGACUUGGACAAUACUUUUAUGAUCUGAUCUCAAAUCAGGUAGGACUACCCGCUGAACUUAAGC